GACGAACGCUGGCGGCGUGCUUAACACAUGCAAGUCGAACGGAAAGGCCCUGCUUGCAGGGUGCUCGAGUGGCGAACGGGUGAGUAACACGUGGGUGAUCUGCCCCUUACUUUGGGAUAAGCCUGGGAAACUGGGUCUAAUACUGGAUAGGACCAUGCUGUAGGUGGUGUGGUGGAAAGAUUAGUUUCGGUAAGGGAUGAGCUCGCGGCCUAUCAGCUUGUUGGUGGGGUAAUGGCCUACCAAGGCGUCGACGGGUAGCCGGCCUGAGAGGGUGGACGGCCACAUUGGGACUGAGAGACGGCGCAGACGCCUACGGGAGGCAGCAGUGGGGAAUAUUGCACAAUGGGCGCAAGCCUGAUGCAGCGACGCCGCGUGGGGGAUGACGGCCUUCGGGUUGUAAACUCCUUUCAGCCAUGACGAAGCCCUUGUGGUGACGGUAGUGGUAGAAGAAGCACCGGCUAACUACGUG
RNAcentral lists this ribosomal RNA (469 nucleotides) under uncultured bacterium. Its description in RNAcentral is "partial 16S ribosomal RNA". It matches the Rfam family "Bacterial small subunit ribosomal RNA", at positions 28 to 507 of the family's 1533-position model. The record is from RNAcentral.